UUUGAACGCUGGCGGCAGGCUUAACACAUGCAAGUCGAGCGGAGUGAUGGUGCUUGCACUAUCACUUAGCGGCGGACGGGUGAGUAAUGCUUAGGAAUCUGCCUAUUAGUGGGGGACAACAUCUCGAAGGGGAUGCUAAUACCGCAUACGUCCUACGGGAGAAAGCAGGGGAUCACUUGUGACCUUGCGCUAAUAGAUGAGCCUAAGCCGGAUUAGCGAGUUGGUGGGGUAAAGGCCUACCAAGGCGACGAUCUGUAGCGGGUCUGAGAGGAUGAUCCGCCACACUGGGACUGAGACACGGCCCAGACUCCUACGGGAGGCAGCAGUGGGGAAUAUUGGACAAUGGGGGGAACCCUGAUCCAGCCAUGCCGCGUGUGUGAAGAAGGCCUUAUGGUUGUAAAGCACUUUAAGCGAGGAGGAGGCUCUUUUGGUUAAUACCCAAGAUGAGUGGACGUUACUCGCAGAAUAAGCACCGGCUAACUCUGUGCCAGCCGCCGCGGUAA
RNAcentral lists this ribosomal RNA (503 nucleotides) under uncultured bacterium. RNAcentral's name for it is "partial 16S ribosomal RNA". It matches the Rfam family "Bacterial small subunit ribosomal RNA", at positions 30 to 523 of the family's 1533-position model. The record is from RNAcentral.